GGGCCGCAAGGCCAGUGGCGCAAGGGUGAGUAAGGCGACGGUAACCAACCCCAUGAUUGGGCAUAGCCGCGGGAAACUGCGGGUAAUUCCCAGCGACGUCACCGGAGGGCAUCCCCCGGUGACCAAAGUUCCGGCGUCGUGGGACGGGCUGUCGUGGUAUUAGCUAGUUGGCGGGGUAACGGCCCACCAAGGCGGUGAUGCCUACCGGGCGUGCGAGCGUGGCCCGGCACACUGGGACUGAGACACUGCCCAGACUCCUACGGGAGGCUGCAGUCGAGAAUCUUCGGCAAUGGGCGCAAGCCUGACCGAGCGACGCCGCGUGAAGGACGAAGGCCUUCGGGUUGUAAACUCCUGUCGAGGGGGAAGAAGGGCCCUUAAAAGCCUUGACUGAUCCCUGGAGGAAGCACGGGCUAAGUUCGUGCCAGCAGCCGCGGUAAGACGAACCGUGCGAACGUUAUUCGGAAUCACUGGGCUUAAAGCGCGUGUAGGCGGGUCGGCACGUCGGUCGCUGAAAUCCCCCGGCUCAACCGGGGAAGGGGCGCCGAUACGGCCGGCCUGGAGGGACGUAGGGGGGGCUGGAACUUCCGGUGGAGCGGUGAAAUGCGUUGAGAUCGGAAGGAACGCCCGUGGCGAAAGCGAGCCCCUGGACGUCUACUGACGCUGAGACGCGAAAGCCAGGGGAGCGAACGGGAUUAGAUACCCCGGUAGUCCUGGCCGUAAACGAUGGGCACUGGGUAGGGGGCUCGCCGAUGGGCUCCCUGCCGUAGGGAAACCGUGAAGUGCCCGCCUGGGGAGUAUGGUCGCAAGGCUGAAACUCAAAGG
RNAcentral lists this ribosomal RNA (822 nucleotides) under uncultured Planctomycetia bacterium. Its description in RNAcentral is "bacterial SSU rRNA". It matches the Rfam family "Bacterial small subunit ribosomal RNA", at positions 81 to 907 of the family's 1533-position model. The record is from RNAcentral. Lineage: Bacteria; Pseudomonadati; Planctomycetota; Planctomycetia.